GUGAAUGUGACUUAAUGGUAGAGUGCUUGCCUAGUAUGCAUGAAACCCUGGAUUCGAUUCCUCAGUAUCACA
This is a non-coding RNA of Dipodomys ordii (Ord's kangaroo rat), 72 nucleotides long. NCBI's taxonomy places the organism in Eukaryota, Metazoa, Chordata, Mammalia, Rodentia, Heteromyidae. The record is from Rfam.